RNAcentral lists this ribosomal RNA (426 nucleotides) under Aphodius sp. G68. RNAcentral describes it as "partial large subunit ribosomal RNA". It matches the Rfam family "Bacterial large subunit ribosomal RNA", at positions 1896 to 2528 of the family's 2925-position model. The record is from RNAcentral. Lineage: Eukaryota; Metazoa; Arthropoda; Insecta; Coleoptera; Scarabaeidae.
UAUUUAAGUCUACCUGCCCAUGAAUUAUUCAAUGGCCGCAGUAUUUUAACUGUGCGAAGGUAGCAUAAUAAUUAGUUUUUUAAUUGAGAACUGGUAUGAAUGGUUGGACGAGAAAAUAGCUGUCUCAAUUUAAUUUAAAUUAGAAUUUUAUUUUUAAGUUAAAAAGCUUAAAUUCUUUUAAAAGACGAGAAGACCCUAUAGAGUUUUAUAUUAAAUUUAUAUUUAAUUUAUAAAGUAUUAUUGUUAUUUUAUGUAAAUUUAAUAUUUUAUUGGGGCGAUAUAAAAAUUUAAAAAACUUUUUAUUUUUUAUUACAUUGAUUUAUGAGUAAAUGAUCCAUUUUUUAUGAUUAAAAGAUUAAAUUACCUUAGGGAUAACAGCGUAAUUUUUUUUUAGAGUUCUUAUCGAAAAAAAAGUUUGCGACCUCG